GAAGAUGUGUUUUCGAAGUUACUGAGUAUAAUUGGCAGUGACAUUUCCCACCAAGACACCAACUUGAGACAAUUGAUAAAACUGUUAUUGACUGGCAGUCACUUUAAGAUUUUUGGCGACUGGAGAAACAUUCCAAUCUCUGUGUUAUGCAACAAGAAUUGCGUCAAAAAUUAUUCCAGAAAUGCUGCAGGCAAUUCUUAAUAAUUUGGAAUACAAGUGCAUAAAGAUUCCAAACACGGCUAACAAGUGGAAGCAAGUAGCGCACUCGUUCAAUUUGCUGUGGCAAUUCCCCCAUUGCAUAGGGGCAGUUGAUGGUAAAAAGGUAACCUUCCGGGCACUGAGAGCAGCAGGCGCCUACUUCAGAGACAGCAUUGUGCUCCAUUGGUGCCAGUGGUAGAGUUAAUGAUGGGGUAAUUUUUAACCAAAGCAAACUAUCAGAGGCCUUAGAAAGCAAUAACAUGAAUUUGCCUUUUCCUGAGAAAGUGGAGUGUUUCGAUGGACCUGACCUGCCAUAUGUAUUUGUGGCAGAUGAUGCUUUUGCUCUCAAACCAUAUAUGAUGAAACCCUAUCCCGAGAGAGGGUUGUCAAAGGGACAUAAGGUGUUUAAUUAUAGAUUAAGCAGAGCCCGGAGAGUAGUGGAGAAUGCUUACUGCAUAAUGUCAAACAAAUUUGGAGUUCGACUAAACCCAAUUCGUUUAUCUCACAAUCAUCAGAACUUCCUGUGUUCUACACAAUUUUAUUCUGGAGCAACAUCCCAGAUGGUAUGUACCAGGAGACAUACAUAACAUAUCUAUGGACUCAACAAUGGAAGGAAUUCCAAGACAACAUGGAAGGCAUGCAGCUGCAGGUGCAUUGAAAGCCAGAGAUGAUUUCAAGAUGUAUUUCAACUCCAUAAGUACUGUUCCAUGGCAAGAAGAGGCUGUUGAUGCUGGGAGGUGGUGAUGACAGUAGAGCUUUGGACAACAGUACACAUUUAUCUGUCAUUAAGUUUUAUGUAUUUUAUAUAUGUUAUGUAAGAAUUUUUUUUUUUUUUUCCUAUAUCGUCAAAUAUUUCUGUCCUGCAAUUUGUAGUCAACGUCUAUGUACAGAAGUUAGUGUACUUUCCUGUACAUAAUACGCAUAAUAAAUGUUAUUUUGUGGGCACAAGAGCCCAGUUGAGAAAAAUUUUUAGUUUUCCAUAACAAUAAAGACUUACAGCAAUUACUA
Schistocerca gregaria is the source of this 1206-nucleotide long non-coding RNA. RefSeq lists it as uncharacterized. The record is from RefSeq and is a predicted model, not a curated record. The transcript has 3 exons. Lineage: Eukaryota; Metazoa; Arthropoda; Insecta; Orthoptera; Acrididae.